This 254-nucleotide ribosomal RNA is filed under the name uncultured bacterium. RNAcentral's name for it is "partial 16S ribosomal RNA". It matches the Rfam family "Bacterial small subunit ribosomal RNA", at positions 524 to 776 of the family's 1533-position model. The record is from RNAcentral.
UACGUAGGGGGCAAGCGUUGUCCGGAUUUAUUGGGCGUAAAGAGCUCGUAGGCGGUUUGGUAAGUCAGGUGUGAAAUCUCCACGCUCAACGUGGAGGGGCCACCUGAUACUGCCAUGACUGGAGUCCGGUAGAGGAGUGUGGAAUUCCCGGUGUAGCGGUGAAAUGCGCAGAUAUCAGGAGGAACACCAGUGGCGAAGGCGGCCGCCUGGGCCUGGCCUGACGCUGAGGCGCGAAAGCGUGGGGAGCGAUCCGG